UACAGAGGGGGCAAGCGUUGUUCGGAAUUACUGGGCGUAAAGGGUGCGUAGGCGGCCUGUUAAGUCGAACGUGAAAUCCCCGGGCUCAACCCGGGAACUGCGUCCGAUACUGGCAGGCUUGAAUCCGGGAGAGGGAUGCGGAAUUCCAGGUGUAGCGGUGAAAUGCGUAGAUAUCUGGAGGAACACCGGUGGCGAAGGCGGCAUCCUGGACCGGCAUUGACGCUGAGGCGCGAAAGCCAGGGGAGCAAACGGG
Molecule: ribosomal RNA, 253 nt
Filed under: uncultured bacterium
Lineage: Bacteria
Description: partial 16S ribosomal RNA
Rfam family: Bacterial small subunit ribosomal RNA
Source: RNAcentral